ACGCUCGACACCUACGGGAGCAGCAGUGGGGAAUAUUGCACAAUGGGGGAAACCCUGAUGCAGCGACGCCGCGUGAAGGAAGAAGUAUCUCGGUAUGUAAACUUCUAUCAGCAGGGAAGAAAGUGACGGUACCUGACUAAGAAGCCCCGGCUAACUACGUGCAGCAGCCGCGGUAAUCUGAGCGGGCUGGCAAGGC
This 196-nucleotide ribosomal RNA is filed under the name uncultured bacterium. RNAcentral's name for it is "partial 16S ribosomal RNA". It matches the Rfam family "Bacterial small subunit ribosomal RNA", at positions 328 to 539 of the family's 1533-position model. The record is from RNAcentral.